UACAGAGGGUGCAAGCGUUGUUCGGAAUUAUUGGGCGUAAAGGGCGCGUAGGCGGUGCGGUAAGUCUGUAGUGAAAUCUCUGGGCUCAACUCAGAGUCUGCUGCAGAAACUGCCGUGCUUGAGGGAUGCAGAGGAGAUUGGAAUUCCCGGUGUAGCGGUGAAAUGUGUAGAGAUCGGGAGGAACACCGGUGGCGAAGGCGGGUCUCUGGGCAUCUCCUGACGCUGAGGCGCGAAAGCGUGGGGAGCAAACGGG
RNAcentral lists this ribosomal RNA (253 nucleotides) under uncultured bacterium. Its description in RNAcentral is "partial 16S ribosomal RNA". It matches the Rfam family "Bacterial small subunit ribosomal RNA", at positions 524 to 776 of the family's 1533-position model. The record is from RNAcentral.